UAUGGCCAUAGCACCCUGAACGUGCCCAGUCUUGUCUGAUCUUGGAAGCUAAGUAGAGUCAGGCCUGGUUAGUACUUGAAUGGGUGAAUAACUUAAGAUGCAUACAUAU
RNAcentral lists this ribosomal RNA (109 nucleotides) under Erinaceus europaeus (western European hedgehog). The record is from RNAcentral. Lineage: Eukaryota; Metazoa; Chordata; Mammalia; Eulipotyphla; Erinaceidae.